AGAGAGAGACAUGCGCGCAUAUCAAUAAGCGGAGGAAAAGAAACUAACAAGGAUUCCCCUAGUAACGGCGAGUGAAGCGGGAAGAGCUCAAAUUUGAAAUCUUAAAGGGUUUCCCUUUACGAAUUGUAGUUUAAAGAAGUGUUUUCUGUUGAGGUUUUGGUAAAAGUUCUUUGGGAUAGGACAUCAUAGAGGGUGAGAAUCCCGUAUUUGACCUUUACUUUCAACUUUGUGAUACACUUUCAAAGAGUCGGAUUGUUUGGGAAUGCAGUCCAAAAUGGGUGGUAAAUUUCAUCUAAAGCUAAAUAUUGGCGAGAGACCGAUAGCGAACAAGUACCGUGAGGGAAAGAUGAAAAGAACUUUGAAGAGAGAGUUAAACAGUACGUGAAAUUGUCAAAAGGGAGGCGUUUGACACCAGUGUUGUUUUUCUGAAAAUCAAUUAAAGAACUGUUUAUGCUAAGCUGUUUAGACUUUAUCAGCUAACUGUUUAGUUUUGAGCUUUUCUUUAAUGCACUUUUCAGUUAACAAGUCAACAUCAAUUUCUUUUGCUGUAAAAAAGCUUGAGGAAGGUGGCUUGAGAUUCGUCUUAAGUGUUUAUAGCCUCUUGCCUAUGCAGUCGGAGAGAUUGAGGUCUGCAGCGUAGAUCCUUCGGGGCUAAAUGCAUUUGUGCUAAGUUAUAGCAUUUUAUAGACAACUUGUUGACUAUGAUUUGUCUUGUAGCUUACUCGCUUAUGUUAUUUUACCUACGCUUAGGAUGUUGAGCGCAUGUCUCUCUCU
This 774-nucleotide ribosomal RNA is filed under the name uncultured Neocallimastigales. RNAcentral's name for it is "partial large subunit ribosomal RNA". It matches the Rfam family "Eukaryotic large subunit ribosomal RNA", at positions 23 to 616 of the family's 3401-position model. Lineage: Eukaryota; Fungi; Neocallimastigomycota; Neocallimastigomycetes; Neocallimastigales. The record is from RNAcentral.